AACUACAAGACUACUCAUAAAAAUCGAGCUAAAAUAAGCGCUUUUGUUAAAUGUGAUUGCUUGAAUUUUCAUAAAAGUGACAAAAUAAUCAAGUGACAAAAUAAUUAGUUUUUCAAGCGAAAAAUCAUUUUCCCAGCAUUUAGAUUACCGGUUUAGUCUUAAUAAACAAGAUAGUCAAGUUUUCAUAUUUUACGCAACCUAAUCAACCAAGGACAAAGUCGCUAUUAUCUACCGAGCAAAAUCAGAACAAUUAGAGUUUAGGUAUCUUACCUUCCUAAAUGUUGUCUCCUCUCUUAUUCUUGCCGAUUUCCUCCGGUGAGUCAGGUCACCGUCUCCCUAAUCGUCACCACCGAUUUCUAGCCCCGUAUAAAAAAAGAAAAAACAACAAAAUCAAAAUAGCAAGUCAGAAAAGGGCAAUAAAAACAAGAUUUUAACUUUAGCUUUGUAGAUCGGGGUUCACAUGUCGCUGGAGGGCUCGCUAGAGACAUCCUCCGACGACAUGCAAGCCCAAAUUCGGCUAAAAUCGAGAAGAUAAAAGUUAGGGAAGUAGAUCUGCGUUUCUAUUUACCUUUUUGACACCGUUGAGGGAGAGGCGGCGGUGGCACCGCGAUCACCGUUGUUGUGGACGUCGUCAAAACAGAGAGGAAGGGAAGAAGAAGGAGAAGAAGAAGAA
RNAcentral lists this long non-coding RNA (673 nucleotides) under Linum usitatissimum (flax). Its description in RNAcentral is "long non-coding RNA (LUSI_LNC006992)". The record is from RNAcentral. Lineage: Eukaryota; Viridiplantae; Streptophyta; Magnoliopsida; Malpighiales; Linaceae.